This 267-nucleotide ribosomal RNA is filed under the name Triticum aestivum (bread wheat). RNAcentral's name for it is "partial small subunit ribosomal RNA". The record is from RNAcentral. Lineage: Eukaryota; Viridiplantae; Streptophyta; Magnoliopsida; Poales; Poaceae.
AUGCAGAUAGAGCUUGCCCCUUCAGAGAUCGUUACGGAAGUUUCUGGGACAGUUGGUGUCUUUGCAGAAGACAAUGUCGAAUAUAAUGCUAUAGCAUCCCUCACCAUUACCACAAACCUACGCCCGUACGGUCCCUUCGGAAAAACACAGAGCACUCCUUUCAGUGUUCCAGUGCAGGCCAAUAAUAACAUCGUGGGUUUCUUCGCGUGCGCUGGUAAGUACGUGGAGGCGCUCGGGGUUUACGUACGUUCACCCAUCUCAACCUAG